GACGAACGCUGGCGGCGUGCUUAACACAUGCAAGUCGAACGGAAAGGCCCUGCUUUUGUGGGGUGCUCGAGUGGCGAACGGGUGAGUAACACGUGAGUAACCUGCCCUUGACUUUGGGAUAACUUCAGGAAACUGGGACUACUACCGGAUAGGAGCUCCUGCUGCAUGGUGGGGGUUGGAAAGUUUCGGCGGUUGGGGAUGGACUCGCGGCUUAUCAGCUUGUUGGUGGGGUAGUGGCUUACCAAGGCUUUGACGGGUAGCCGGCCUGAGAGGGUGACCGGCCACAUUGGGACUGAGAGACGGCCCAGACGCCUACGGGAGGCAGCAGUGGGGAAUAUUGCACAAUGGGCGGAAGCCUGAUGCAGCAACGCCGCGUGCGGGAUGACGGCCUUCGGGUUGUAAACCGCUUUCGCCUGUGACGAAGCGUGAGUGACGGUAAUGUGUAAAGAAGCACCGGCUAACUACGUG
RNAcentral lists this ribosomal RNA (468 nucleotides) under uncultured bacterium. RNAcentral's name for it is "partial 16S ribosomal RNA". It matches the Rfam family "Bacterial small subunit ribosomal RNA", at positions 28 to 507 of the family's 1533-position model. The record is from RNAcentral.